RNAcentral lists this ribosomal RNA (338 nucleotides) under uncultured bacterium. Its description in RNAcentral is "partial 16S ribosomal RNA". It matches the Rfam family "Bacterial small subunit ribosomal RNA", at positions 338 to 690 of the family's 1533-position model. The record is from RNAcentral.
CCUACGGGAGGCAGCAGUGGGGAAUAUUGGGCAAUGGGCGCAAGCCUGACCCAGCAACGCCGCGUGAAGGAAGAAGGCUUUCGGGUUGUAAACUUCUUUUCUCAGGGACGAAGCACGUGACGGUACCUGAGGCAUAAGCCACGGCUAACUACGUGCCAGCAGCCGCGGUAAUACGUAGGUGGCAAGCGUUAUCCGGAUUUACUGGGUGUAAAGGGCGUGUAGGCGGGAAAGCAAGUCCGCUGUGAAAACCAUGGGCUCAACCUUUGGCCUGCAUUUGAAACUGUUUUUCUUGAGUACUGGAGAGGGAGACGGAAUUCCUAGGGGAGCGGGGAAAUGCG